CCAUCAGGUGGCCGCAGAGAAUAGGCCCAAGCGACUGUUUACCAAAAACAUAGGUUUCUGCUAAGUCGCAAGACGAUGUAUAGGAGCUGACGCCUGCCCGGGGCUGGAAGGUUAAGGGGAUCUGUUAGAGCAAUCGAAGCAGUGAACUUAAGCCCCAGUAAACGGCGGCCGUAACUAUAACGGUCCUAAGGUAGCGAAAUUCCUUGUCGGGUAAGUUCCGACCCGCACGAAAGGCGUAACGAUUUGGGCACUGUCUCAACAACAGACUCGGUGAAAUUGUAAUUCCGGUGAAGAUGCCGGAUACCUGCGACAGGACGGAAAGACCCCAUGGAGCUUUACUGUAGCUUGACAUUGGGUCUUGGUACUACAUGUACAGGAUAGGUGGGAGGCUUUGAAACCAGGACGCCAGUUUUGGCGGAGCCAUCCUUGGGAUACCACCCUUGUAGUACUGGGACUCUAACCAUAGGCCAUGAAUCUGGUCUUGGGACACUGUCAGGUGGGCAGUU
RNAcentral lists this ribosomal RNA (506 nucleotides) under Clostridioides difficile. Its description in RNAcentral is "partial 23S ribosomal RNA". It matches the Rfam family "Bacterial large subunit ribosomal RNA", at positions 1766 to 2270 of the family's 2925-position model. The record is from RNAcentral. Lineage: Bacteria; Bacillati; Bacillota; Clostridia; Peptostreptococcales; Peptostreptococcaceae.